Molecule: ribosomal RNA, 385 nt
Filed under: Amblyomma nodosum
Lineage: Eukaryota; Metazoa; Arthropoda; Arachnida; Ixodida; Ixodidae
Description: partial small subunit ribosomal RNA
Source: RNAcentral
UAAACUUGGAUUAGAUACCCUAUUAUUAUAGAGCUAAUAUAUUGUUAGUAAGUAAAUAUUAUGAAAACAAAAAAUUAUGGCGGUACUUUAAGCUUUUCAGAGGAAUUUGCUCUUUAAUGGAUAAAACACCUGAAUUNUUACUAAAAUUAGUUUAAAUCCAGUUUGUAUACCACUAUUAAAAUAAUAAUUUAUAAUUAUUAUUUUGAUUUUAAAAUUAAAAAUUAAUUUAAGUCAUGGCGCAAAAAAAAUUUUAAAAUGAAGUGAAUUACUUUUCUUUUUAGAAAUCUAAAUUGAAAAAAUUUAAUAGGAUUUGAAAGUAAAAAUAUAAUAGAAUGAUGUUUUGAAUAAAGUUCUAAAGUAUGUCCAUAUCCCCCGUCUCUCUUUA